This is a long non-coding RNA of Peromyscus eremicus (cactus mouse), 2315 nucleotides long. RefSeq lists it as uncharacterized. The transcript has 3 exons. Lineage: Eukaryota; Metazoa; Chordata; Mammalia; Rodentia; Cricetidae. The record is from RefSeq and is a predicted model, not a curated record.
UGUGUGCCUCAUUGGAUUGCCCCAAUGUCGUGGGCUUCUGUCAGCAGCGCUAUAAAUAAGGCACGUCCAUUGGCACAGCCCAGCAGAUAAGGGCCCAAGCCUGGCUCCUGCAAGCCUUUUUUGGUCUCCAAAUGAAAGAAGUCUCGGGCCCCAGUUGGGAAGAGGCUGUUGCGUAUGUUCCUAUUUGGCCUGCCUGUCUCAAGGACACCCCAGGCCUCAUGUGUAUUCCAGCAAUCCAAGAGCAGCCAAAACAGGGAGGCCAUUAGGUCCAGAACCUUCCAGUGUAUAGCCCAGGGCUAGCUAUAUGCCUUGCUGGAGGAUGCAGGUAGCUGGCACGUGAAUGAGGGAGCACUUUUCUGAGGAGACAGGAGCACCUCCACAGGUUCACAAGGGAAAGCCUGGUGUCUGACGCUCCCUGUUGGAAAGACUUCACUGACCUUCCUUCUCCAGCUUAGGAGGACAAGGGCAUUUGCCUAGUUCUCAGCUGAGACAUCCUGUAACCAAGGACAGAUGUGCAAGAGAAUAACUGAUAUAACACCACAGUGACCACUGUGCAAAACUGUAAGGGGACUGGAGGAGAAACCUGGCCAGACCUGCCUGUUCAGAUCCCCCCCACGCUCCCCUGGAGCCCCCAGAUAUGGAGUAGGAUCUCUCUGAAAUGAGGGUCUUACUGUCUCCCAUCAGACAAGACAGGAGAGCCAGCUGUGACCCCUCGAAGAUGGAUGAGGAAGGAAAUGGAGCUCCUUAUCAUCCUUACCAUGCGUGCUCUUCUACCUAGCCAGAUGGUUCACAGAGGUUGGAUUAAUACAUUUAAUGACAGAGGAAGAGGCAAGCCAGGGAGCCUGAGGACAGGCUGAAGGGAAGGAGGAACACGAGGCUAGGUCAGGAAGCCACAGGGCUAGGUCAGGAAGCCUUGAGGCAACGUUGCUGGGAAGGAGAAGCACAGGAAUGCACCACCAUGCUUUGUCAGCAGAGAAGGCAAAGAAAGCUUGGUGGUUCUGGACCAGGAAGUUCGCAGAUGCAGGACCAAGUUGAGUUGGAGUGCAGAGCUGAGUGCCUCAGGACAUGUUUCACCCACCAGAUGUCUAUCUGCAGAAACUGGGAGGACGAGUCAGCUUUGUUCCAAGUGGCUGCCGGGAUUACCUAGCCGCUGGGUCUGAUCUUCCUGAAAGCUCCUUGUAAACAGCCCUUCUGCACUUCCCAGAACAAUGACAGCUGCAGAAAUGUCUGCAGUGUAAACACAUCCCUGCAGCUCUGGAAACUCUCAACCCGAAAAGUAACACCAGCUUUUGCUGACGUGACAGAAUCCAGGCUUCUCUUCCUUGUAAGUGUGGCUUAGCCAGAGCUCGUUUGGAUGUGGAGAAGAACCAGAUUACCUUCCAAGCAAGAACUCAGAUUGGAGUCUCUGGCAAGCUAAACCAUCCCAUUCUUGGGGGCUUAGAGGGUGAUACCCCACCAUGAAGGCUUCUGACACUAAACUUUUCCCUCAUUCUCUCCUGCCCUCCUGUCUGCUACCCUGUGCAUUCUUCCUGUGGUGGUUUGAAUAAAAAUGGCCCCAUAGGCUCAUAUAUUUGAAUGCUUAGUCACCAGGGAGUGGCACUAUUUGGAAGGAUUAGGAGGUGUGGCCUUGUUGGAGAAGUGAGUGACUAGGGAUGAACUUUGAGGUUUCCAGUUAGGUCUAGCGUCUCUCUCUUAGCCUAUGGAUCAGGAUGUAGAAUUCUCAGCUGCUCCUCCAGAACCAUGUCUGCCUGAUUGCCGCCAUAAUGAUAAUGGACUAACUUCUGAAACUGUAAGCAAGUCCACAAUUAAAUGCUUUCUUUGAUAAGAAUUGCCUUAGUCAUGGUAUCUCUUCACAGCAACAGAACAGUGACUAAGAUACUUUCUCAAGGCAAGCCAUAGAGACUAUUCCCCAACAUGGGUCAUGGGACCCAAAAUCUCCUUUCUCCACAGCUAGCUACUUGUCCACGUAAGAGCUGGUCAUAAAGAAAUUCUGUGAUCUACAGUCUACAGCAUACUGGUAGACCACAGGAUACCACCAACCCCAAUUCCAGAAAGGGUUCUGCCCACAUUUAGAAGAAAUGAAUGCUGCACAGAGACACUAAGAAGAAUGUGAACAGACAGACCCUGCUGGCCACCUGCCCCAGGUUUAUUCCAUUAGCUCAAACGCUUUUGUACAAUCACAUUUUACACGGCUGUUCACACUUAACCAACCUAAAGAUGAAAAGGGAUUGUUCACUCUGGUCUUUAGUUCUUUAAUCUGUAGGCUUUCAUGCCCUGUGAAGCUGUGAUUAAAUAAAUUUGUUAUUUUGAUUAGA